Molecule: ribosomal RNA, 253 nt
Filed under: uncultured bacterium
Lineage: Bacteria
Description: partial 16S ribosomal RNA
Rfam family: Bacterial small subunit ribosomal RNA
Source: RNAcentral
UACGUAGGGUGCGAGCGUUGUCCGGAAUUACUGGGCGUAAAGAGCUCGUAGGUGGUUUGUCGCGUUGUCCGUGAAAACUCACAGCUCAACUGUGGGCGUGCGGGCGAUACGGGCAGACUGGAGUACUGCAGGGGAGACUGGAAUUCCCGGUGUAGCGGUGGAAUGCGCAGAUAUCAGGAGGAACACCGGUGGCGAAGGCGGGUCUCUGGGCAGUAACUGACGCUGAGGAGCGAAAGCGUGGGGAGCGAACAGG